This 73-nucleotide transfer RNA is filed under the name Trichonephila clavata. RNAcentral's name for it is "tRNA-Met". It matches the Rfam family "tRNA". Rfam says of the family: Transfer RNA (tRNA) molecules are approximately 80 nucleotides in length. The record is from RNAcentral. Lineage: Eukaryota; Metazoa; Arthropoda; Arachnida; Araneae; Nephilidae.
GCCUCGGUAGCGCAGUAGGCAGCGCGUCAGUCUCAUUAUCUAAAGGUCGUGAGUUCGAAACUCACCCGGGGCA